RNAcentral lists this transfer RNA (67 nucleotides) under Trybliographa sp. ZJUH 20220008. RNAcentral describes it as "tRNA-Met". Lineage: Eukaryota; Metazoa; Arthropoda; Insecta; Hymenoptera; Figitidae. The record is from RNAcentral.
UUAAAAAUAAGUUAAUUAAACUUCUAGACUCAUAAUCUAACAAUAGGCACCAUACACCUUUUUUAAA